Molecule: ribosomal RNA, 980 nt
Filed under: uncultured organism
Description: bacterial SSU rRNA
Rfam family: Bacterial small subunit ribosomal RNA
Source: RNAcentral
AUGCAAGUCGAACGAGAAAUCUUUAGCUUGCUAGAGAAAGUAAAGUGGCGCACGGGUGAGUAACGCGUGGGUAAUCUGCCUCCGAAUCGGGGAUAACAUUGCGAAAGCGAUGCUAAUACCGGAUAAAAUCUGGUUGGCUUCGGUGAACCGGAUCAAAGGUGGUCUCUUUAUAAAAGCUACCGUUUGGAGAUGAGCUCGCGUACCAUUAGCUAGUUGGUGAGGUAAAGGCUCACCAAGGCGACGAUGGUUAGCUGGUCUGAGAGGAUGAUCAGCCACACCGGAACUGGAACACGGUCCGGACUCCUACGGGAGGCAGCAGUGAGGAAUUUUGCGCAAUGGGGGAAACCCUGACGCAGCAACGCCGCGUGAGUGAUGAAGGCUUUCGGGUCGUAAAGCUCUGUCAGGUGGGAAGAACCCACCAAGUGUUAAGACCACUUGGUGCUGACGGUACCACCGAAGGAAGCACCGGCUAACUCCGUGCCAGCAGCCGCGGUAAUACGGGGGGUGCGAGCGUUAUUCGGAAUCAUUGGGCGUAAAGGGCGCGCAGGCGGUUUUGUAAGUCAGAUGUGAAAUCCCGGGGCUUAACCCCGGAAGUGCAUAUGAAACUAUGAGACUUGAGUAUGGGAGAGGGAAGCGGAAUUCCUGGUGUAGCGGUGAAAUGCGUAGAUAUCAGGAGGAACACCGGUGGCGAAGGCGGCUUCCUGGACCAAUACUGACGCUGAGGCGCGAAGGCGUGGGGAGCGAACAGGAUUAGAUACCCUGGUAGUCCACGCAGUAAACGUUGAUCACUAGGUGUACCGGGUAUUGACCCCUGCUGUGCCGGAGUUAACGCCAUUAAGUGAUCCGCCCUGGGGAGUACGAUCGCAAGAUUAAAACCUCGACGGAAUUGACGGGGGCCCGCACAAGCGGGUGAAGCAUGUGGUUCACUUCGACGCAACGCGAAGAACCUUACCUGGACUUGACAUCUCGGGAAAAAUUUC